Mandrillus leucophaeus (drill) is the source of this 1770-nucleotide long non-coding RNA. RefSeq lists it as uncharacterized. The transcript is spliced from 4 exons. The record is from RefSeq and is a predicted model, not a curated record. Lineage: Eukaryota; Metazoa; Chordata; Mammalia; Primates; Cercopithecidae.
GGGGUCAGAGGUCAGGGCCCUGGAGCCCCGCGAGCAGAGCCCCCCACGUGAACGCAGCGAGCAGGAGGAACCUUUUUGUUUUCAACCGCGCCAGCAUGCUCCCCUAUUGACCGAGCUGCUUUUCCUGGGCUGCUGGGGAGAGGAGCUCCAUUGCGGAUCUCCUAACCCCACCCCUCCUUCCACCGCCAACACACUUCCCAACUCAACCCUUCCUCUCAACUCUCAUCCCAGCCCCCCGUCCCGAGCUUGCAAUAACGCAGUAAAUUUGCUUUAACAACAAGUGGGGGUGGUUGAAUUUACUCCUCCCUCUCCUCUCUCCUCCCCCUCCUCUUGCUGCGGCUCUUGACACUACUACAAACCAGGGCUAUAAACAUAAACAUGUGUCACUGUAACAGGGCAGGUUCCCAGUAGCUGCAGCAGUGAAAGACAGUGAUUGGCUCCAGUGCUCCUACAAGGAUUUGGGCUGAAGCCAGGGGAACAGAACCAGAAGAGGAUUCCCUUUCCAGAGACCAUCAGGCUCCUCAUGUCUUGUCUCUCCUCUCUCCCCUCGUGGUGGCUCAGGAUUUCAGUAUGGCUGAGCAGCCCAUAGAGGCAGCUGACAUGGUCAACAAAUUUAUCAAAGAAACCCCCUGGCUUUUGAAGAAUAGUACUUUAUACAUCUGGAUCUGCACAUCAGGCAAAGCUCAGAAAUAUCCGUUUAUUCUUUUAAUCACGCGGAUGUGUCUAUUUUUGGAGGAACAAGGAAACACAUAAAUGCCUGGGUUGCAUUUAUGUUGUAGUUGCAAACACCGAACAGUUAAGAAGAUUUUGCUGAAUUUUGCAAAGCAGCCAACGAGCCGCCUUGGGAUCGUAGUAAUGCGACUGGGAGGACCCUUGCUCUCAUUUGGCAAUAUUUUGGAUAUCCUUGAAAAUGACACCAAAAUAUGCCUUAAUUUGACUAAGAAGAGGUUAAACCACAUUGAUUUUCAUCCAAAGUGAUUUUGUUAAAGCAGAUGCUUGACUUUGAUGGAAAAACUGGGAGUUGUGGAAGAUUCACCUAAACUACCAACCCAAAGCAUCACAAACCACUGAAACAGUCUGCAUCGUACAUCAGCACUUUCUUUUCAUUGUUAUUACGUAAAACCUCUGGAAGCACCUUGGGCGUUUGACAUUUUCUUUUCUUUGCUGCAGAAGGAAGCAAUCUGCUCCCUGGAAUUCUGACCUGUGGUGAACAGGACCCUGGCAAAGGCUUUGCUGGGGACUCUUGGACGAUCCCGCCUCCAAUCCAGUACGGUUAAUUGUGGAAAAGUGUACACAUUUCUGGCUUAUCUAUGCUUUGUUAUGGGUCUGACGUGAAACUACCUCCUCCCCACCCCACCCCCCAGCAGAGAACCGAAAUCCAGUUGAAUUGUUACAGUGUUUCAGAGCUGGAGCCUUGAACUGCUUCCCUGGUCAAAUAACUUUGUUUCUGGUUGUAAAAAGGCAUUUCAGGGGGGGGAAAAAAAAAGGAAAAUCGAGAGAAAUUCCAAACGUAAGUCCGCACUGGGGUGGUUCACGGGGCGGGUUUAACUUUGGAGCUCCUAGCCGGUCUUCUUCCCCACUCCUGUAAGGGAAAUACCAGGCUAUUCUGCACAUUUUCGCUUAAGCUCCAUUUUCCAAAAGGAAAAGGGGGUGGGGUAUAUCUCUUUCGGCUUGAUAAUGUUUUUUAAAUGCUUUUCUUUGAAAUGAUAAUAGCUGUAUCGGUAAAAUGCAAAUAAAGGAAAAAAUAGGCAGUAUUUCUUUAAAGGCGAA